This 37-nucleotide non-coding RNA is filed under the name unclassified sequences. Its description in RNAcentral is "DUF805b RNA". It matches the Rfam family "DUF805b RNA". Rfam says of the family: Bacteroidetes, Chlorobi (1 example), Proteobacteria. Lineage (Flavobacteria) The record is from RNAcentral.
ACCGGGGUAGCCGAAAACCGAUGAAACAGAGUAGGCA